Long non-coding RNA from Triticum dicoccoides, 1387 nucleotides. RefSeq lists it as uncharacterized. NCBI's taxonomy places the organism in Eukaryota, Viridiplantae, Streptophyta, Magnoliopsida, Poales, Poaceae. The record is from RefSeq and is a predicted model, not a curated record. The transcript is spliced from 3 exons.
UUUUUAGGGCCAAAGACGCGUGCGCCCGAGCCAUGGAGGCGCUCGCCCCGACCCCGCCUUCCUCCGCUACCUUGCCGCGCCGGCUGGCCUCACCGGAGAUCACCACCACCGUGACUAGGUCACGUCGCCGCACCUGCCUUCUCCUCCUCCCUCUCCUUCAUCCUUCCCUCCCAUCAUUUUCUCUCCCUCUCAUUGCAGCGCCGCCAUGGCUGCCCCAAGGUUCGCCGGCAGCCGCGCCCACUUCCCUCCGGCCACAACUCCAGCGGGAUCCGGCCGCCCCUGCCCGGAUCCGCAUCCUCCGCUCCGCCGCGCCCCGGAUCUGGCCACCACCAAGCCUCCCACGCCGAUCCGCCCGUCCGCCGGCCUCCCCCUGCUUGAUCCGGGUGGACGGGUGAAGUUUCUGACUUGCCAUUGGAGUUGACCUGAAGCUCCGUUGGGGAGGAGCAUUGUCGCUGCUACAGAUUAGGGAGGAGGGUCGAGGCAGCCACGAAUUCCAUCCUGCACUACUUCAACACCGGCCUAUUCUUGCAUGAAUCUUCUGCCGUGAGGAUUUAAUGCAGCAAGGGCCAUUUGUUUGACAGAAAUAGAGUUGUUACCGCAAGAGAGGUACAAAUCAAGGACCGAGGAGGAAUGCGUGUGGAUUUGAUCUAGAUGAUGUGAUUGCUUUGUUAUUUCAUUUAAUUAAUAGAAAAAUUGAUGAGGCAAUUGGAAGAAUCAAGCAGCAAUUUUACUACAGAUCUGCGCCAUUGAUUUGGUCAUCUUUGUCACUAGCAAGUUGCAUAAGAAAGAGUGUGGCGUUGCAGAGGCGUGUACAAUUGUGAGUCCCACAGUUAUAGAGCGGAUCCAGGUGAAAGAUGUAGGUGGUGUGCGGAUUGAACUCUAGAUCGGGAACCUGCAGUACUAGAUGGACGAUAACUAUGCUUACAAUUGUCGACCGGACACUUUGAGAUCGAUGUACUUUGUCCGUCUUUCCUUCACCAAAGCAUGCGUUGUGAGAUCAUGAUUGCUACCAGGUACAACAUUGCAAUUUAUUUUCCAGAAUGUUCCUUGAACACACUCCCAAGUUCCCAACCAUCAGCAAUUAUAGUCUCCUCAAUUCAGAUGUAUAGGAAUGCAACUUUUAUCCGAGAAUGUGCAACAAAAGCAUGUUGUUUGUAUCUGUUGACCAUUGAAAUCCCAAGACCAAUGCAUGGAGAAGUAGCCUGUGAACCCUAAGUUAUUUCUGGAGAAAUUAAACCACAUAUUUGACUACUUAUUGAUCUCCGAGCUCUAUAAUAAUAUUAUCCUUAAUCUGUUUUUUGUGAAGACAGAGGAUGAGAAAGAAACAGUAUCCAGGACCGUGUACUAUACUAACAUUGUAAUUAUGGGUCCGUGCCACCUAUUUCUA